GUUGACCUCGGAUCAGGUAGGAAUACCCGCUGAACUUAAGCAUAUCAAUAAGCGGAGGAAAAGAAACCAACAGGGAUUGCCCUAGUAACGGCGAGUGAAGCGGCAACAGCUCAAAUUUGAAAUCUGGCCCCCGGGUCCGAGUUGUAAUUUGUAGAGGAUGCUUUUGGCGAGGUGCCUUCCGAGUUCCCUGGAACGGGACGCCAUAGAGGGUGAGAGCCCCGUCUGGUCGGACACCGAGCCUCUGUAAAGCUCCUUCGACGAGUCGAGUAGUUUGGGAAUGCUGCUCAAAAUGGGAGGUAUAUGUCUUCUAAAGCUAAAUAUUGGCCAGAGACCGAUAGCGCACAAGUAGAGUGAUCGAAAGAUGAAAAGCACUUUGAAAAGAGGGUUAAAAAGUACGUGAAAUUGUUGAAAGGGAAGCGCCUAUGACCAGACUUGGGCCCGGUGAAUCACCCAGCGUUCUCGCUGGUGCACUUCGCCGGGCACAGGCCAGCAUCAGUUUGGCGCGGGGGAGAAAGGCUUCGGGAAUGUGGCUCCCCUGGGAGUGUUAUAGCCCGUUGCGCAAUACCCUGCGCUGGACUGAGGUACGCGCAUUCGCAAGGAUGCUGGCGUAAUGGUCAUCAGCGACCCGUCUUGAAGCACGGACCAAGGAGUCGUCUUCGUAUGCGAGUGUUCGGGUGUCAAACCCCUACGCGUAAUGAAAGUGAACGCAGGUGAGAGCUUCGGCGCAUCAUCGACCGAUCCUGAUGUUCUCGGAUGGAUUUGAGUAAGAGCAUACGGGGCCGGACCCGAAAGAAGGUGAACUAUGCCUGUAUAGGGUGAAGCCAGAGGAAACUCAGGUGGAGGCUCGCAGCGGUUCUGACGUGCGAAUCGAUCGUCAAAUAUGGGCAUGGGGGCGAAAGACUAAUCGAACCUUCUAGUAGCUGGUUUCCGCCGAAGUUUCCCUCAGGAUAGCAGUGUUGAACUCAGUUUUAUGAGGUAAAGCGAA
Molecule: ribosomal RNA, 985 nt
Filed under: Cordyceps militaris
Lineage: Eukaryota; Fungi; Ascomycota; Sordariomycetes; Hypocreales; Cordycipitaceae
Description: eukaryotic LSU rRNA
Rfam family: Eukaryotic large subunit ribosomal RNA
Source: RNAcentral